GGUUUGAGUUAAGGUUUGUGUUCAAACAAGUAGUGAUUCUUCAAACCUUUUGGUUUGCCUGACCUCCUGGAACCUGCAAAAUCGGGAAUUUCAAUUGAUUUGAUUCAUACAUUCUAGCUGAAAUAAGAUGGUGCAUUAAAAAAAGGAAAAUAUGCCACUGCUUCAGGGUUUAGGCCCUUUCCUCCUGAGAAUAUGAAGACAAUUCCAAUUGGGGGGGAUGCAGGUGAUGAUGGUCCAUGUCAGACAAAUCAAACCUAGGUAUUUGAAGAAGGCCUUUUAAUUAAAGCGAGAAUGGCUUUCCCCUCCCAGUCCUCAUCCAGCUCCAUUUCUUACCCCACACAGAUGCGGCGUUUAUCCCCCCCGGCAACCAGAUCUCUCACCCCCUGCUGGUGCGAUGACUCAUCUUUUUGAGAUAUCAGGCCCACACUGCUCUCUCGUCUGCACACAUCAGAGUCCAGAGAGCCAUCGUCGAGAUAAAAGAGCUGGGGUCGCAGGUUGCAGACCUCUGCGCAAGAGAGCUGUGAAAGGAUAAGCCUGGAGAAAGAUUUACAAGAUUUUGACCGCUUCGGCAUUCCGUACCAAGCCUUUUCAUACUGAAACUGAAAGCCCAAGAGUUCUUGGAACCUGCCCAGUGAGACCAUUUAAGUCUAUCAGUCAAUAUGCCGCAACCUUGAUUUGGCACUUUUUGGAUUGCAAUAAAAAUACUUGGCAAUGGUACCAACUCUGGACACGAAACACAAAAAAGUUAUGGAACUAUUUCCAAUCCCUCAAUUUACUUUGAAGGGGAAAGGUGACUGCCCUAGUGUGUUAACAACCACCAAGCGGUUACUCAAUGUACUGUACACUGUACCUGGUUCUGGUCGUCAUUGUAUCACGUCUACAAAUGUGGUCACAGAGACCCAGUUCAGCAGAAUGUGGUAAUAUAGCCCAAAAUAUGAAGUCCAUGCAUGUAGACGCAAGGGUUUAAGAGGUUAAAAUAGCCAGUUUUUGGAAUCAACUUUCUUAAAACAAAGUUUAUCAUAGUUUUAAAUAACUAUUUCUAGGUUUUGAUUGGUCAUAUCUUGGCUCUUGAAUAUUAUCUGCCCUAAUCUUUACUGGUUUCACAGGAAUAUGCUAUGAUGGUCUGAAGGGUGCAGUAAAUAAUUUUCUUUUCACACUUCUCUCCACACCAUACAUCCAAUAAGGAUGUGUGAGGUGUGCUGUAAAUUUGAAGUCGGUGUUGGUUUCGAUCAUCUGUGUCAUCUUCCUGAAAUUUCCUAUGGAUCAAUUUUUACAUUUUUGAAUCACAAACUAUGACAUUAACUCACUUCUUUCCUUUUUGUUUUGCUAUUUAGUGACUUUUUAAUUAGCUAAACUAAUAUAGAAAUUGUGUUUUUAGAGAUUUUCUCAUGAUAGA
Molecule: long non-coding RNA, 1396 nt
Organism: Oryzias melastigma (Indian medaka)
Lineage: Eukaryota; Metazoa; Chordata; Actinopteri; Beloniformes; Adrianichthyidae
Exons: 4
Source: RefSeq, a predicted model, not a curated record